AUACAGCAAUAUCCACAGCAGAACUCACUCUCGUUAGGCUGAGGAUUUCGUAGAGAUACACCAAGUAAAUCCCCUGUGAAUCAGCUCCAUUGCUGAUGUCUGCAGCCGCAGGAAAGUGCCUCAGGACCUGAUUGCUCCCAUGGAAACAUGAACCAGCAAAGAGGAAAGAUUAAAGCUUGAGUGCCUACUAACCUGCCUCAUCCCUUUGCAAGGCUGAAUGCAUAGAAAGGUGACCAGUCCUGUGAGGUGCACGGGCUUACCAUCCCAACUUUUGUGAAACUAAGACAGUGAUCAACCCCAGAAGGCAUUCCUGGGAAACCCACCGGCCAUUUGUGCAGAGAAGCAGAUAGACUAACUACAUAACUUCAAUUCUAUCUACAAAUGGACCUAACAGAUAUUUACAGAACAGUUACUCAAACACAAAAGUAUAUACCUUCUCCUCAGCAGCUCACAGAACUUUCUCCAAAAUUGAUCCACAUAAUUGAAACAAAGCCAGUCUCAACAAAGAUGAGAAAAGUUGAUAUAACACCCUGCAUCUACCUGACUACAACAGAUAAAACCUGAAUACCAACAACAGAAACAGCAGAAAGUUUAGAAACUCAUGCAAAUGGAGUUACUCACUAUUGAAGAAAAAAAUGUACCAAUCCAGAAAUGAACAAAAAAUUAAAGACUUUUUGGAGUUAACUUUCAUUGUGGCAAAAGUUAUCCACUGGGCAACAAAAUGCCCUCUUAUCAACUGCUGAUAGUAUGCUAUCCAAAAUGGACAGACAGGCCACAAAUCAAAGGACUACUGAUCCUUACCAAGACAAGUGUGGUUGCAGCUUUAACAACAGCCAUCCUCAGAG
Peromyscus maniculatus bairdii (prairie deer mouse) is the source of this 845-nucleotide non-coding RNA. Lineage: Eukaryota; Metazoa; Chordata; Mammalia; Rodentia; Cricetidae. The record is from RefSeq and is a predicted model, not a curated record.